UGGGGAAUCUUCCGCAAUGGACGAAAGUCUGACGGAGCAACGCCGCGUGAGUGAUGACGGCCUUCGGGUUGUAAAGCUCUGUUAAUCGGGACGAAUGGUUCUUGUGCGAAUAGUGCAAGGAUUUGACGGUACCGGAAUAGAACGCCACGGCUAACUACGUGCCAGCAGCCGCGGUAAUACGUAGGUGGCAAGCGUUGUCCGGAAUUAUUGGGCGUAAAGCGCGCGCAGGCGGAUUGGUCAGUCUGUCUUAAAAGUUCGGGGCUUAACCCCGUGAUGGGAUGGAAACUGCCAAUCUAGAGUAUCGGAGAGGAAAGUGGAAUUCCUAGUGUAGCGGUGAAAUGCGUAGAUAUUAGGAAGAACACCAGUGGCGAAGGCGACUUUCUGGACGAAAACUGACGCUGAGGCGCGAAAGCCAGGGGAGCGAACGGG
This 429-nucleotide ribosomal RNA is filed under the name bacterium. Its description in RNAcentral is "partial 16S ribosomal RNA". It matches the Rfam family "Bacterial small subunit ribosomal RNA", at positions 355 to 776 of the family's 1533-position model. The record is from RNAcentral.